Molecule: long non-coding RNA, 304 nt
Filed under: Mytilus galloprovincialis (Mediterranean mussel)
Lineage: Eukaryota; Metazoa; Mollusca; Bivalvia; Mytilida; Mytilidae
Source: RNAcentral
AUUUAGUUUUACGAACAAUUUUUAUGCCCCACCUACGAUAGUAGAGGGGCAUUAUGUUUUCUGGUCUGUGCGUCCGUUCGUCCGUCUGUUCGUUCGUCCGUCUGUUCGUUCGUCCGUUCAUCCGUUCGUCCGUCUGUCCCGCUUCAGGUUAAAGUUUUUGGUCGAGGUAGUUUUUGAUGAAGUUGAAGUCCAAUCAACUUGAAACUUAGUAUACAUGUGCCCUAUGAUAUGAUCUUUCUAAUUUAAAUGCCAAAUUAGAGUUUUGACCCCAAUUUUACGGUUCACUGAUAGAAAAUGAUAGUGC